This 216-nucleotide ribosomal RNA is filed under the name uncultured fungus. RNAcentral describes it as "partial small subunit ribosomal RNA". The stretch from base 92 to 216 matches the Rfam family "Eukaryotic small subunit ribosomal RNA", at positions 738 to 864 of the family's 1831-position model. Lineage: Eukaryota; Fungi. The record is from RNAcentral.
GACCUGGCCGGAUGGUCUGCUUAACGGCAUGUACUGUCUGGCUGGGCCUUACCUCUUGGUGAGCCGGCGUGCCCUUUAUUGGUGUGCGUCGGGGAACCAGGACUUUUACCUUGAGAAAAUUAGAGUGCUCAAAGCAGGCCUACGCUUGAAUACAUUAGCAUGGAAUAAUAAAAUAGGACGUGCGGUUCUAUUUUGUUGGUUUCUAGAGUCGCCGUA